RNAcentral lists this long non-coding RNA (927 nucleotides) under Anser brachyrhynchus (Pink-footed goose). Its description in RNAcentral is "lncRNA (ENSABRG00000002378.1)". The record is from RNAcentral. Lineage: Eukaryota; Metazoa; Chordata; Aves; Anseriformes; Anatidae.
CAAGGACUGUCUUAUAGAGCUAACAAACCUUUCCUCAGACACGCUCCUUGUUUGAGCCUUGUGUAAUGGGAAUGCUAAAAUGGGAAUACGUGACACCUGCUCUGCACAGGUGUAAGAGGUAAUAAAAGCAAUGAAAUCAAACCCCCCCCCCCCCCCCUUUGUCCAUGCUUUUUCUCAGGACUCAGCACACGGUAAAUUAUCACUGAAUUAUCCCUGACGCUGAACGUAAGUGGAAUUCAAUCAAGUUCCAACUUUAAACAUCAGGCCUGAGGAGACUUCUUAAAUCAGAAGGAAUUUGGUGCCCAUAUUUUAACCCGUCAUAGCCUGGAGGCCAGCACCAACAUCUCCCUUCGCAGGACGUUUCUAGGGACUAGAUUCCUGUCUGCUCUGCGUACCCCUUGCCCUGCCUGUUUGCUUCUGAAGAUCACUGGGGGUAUGAAACCAGCUGUUGCCUGCAAUUUCAAGUGGUUUUAGCCUACUGUUUGCAUGUCACACAUGUUGCUCAGGAUGGACAGUAUCCUCCACCCAGUAAAGAUACUAUUGUCUUCUAAAUUGUUGAAAUCUAAACUUGGAAAUCAUCCGCCCUGGCACCUAAUAUCCUUGGGCCCUUUCUUGCUGCUUCCCAGCUGCUUCAGUGUUUCUCUGCCAAAAGCUUUGGGUGAGCUCUGUUGCCCCUGUAGCUGGUGAUCUGAGGUUGGCUUUUUUUCAUUUAUGCUACAGAAGUGCCAUUUGAUUUCAACCUGCUGAAUAUUUUAGCGUACCUUGUAUUUUCUCAUUUUGAAACCAGUGAGUCCCUAAACGUUUACUUCGAAACUGCCGAUCAGGACUUUAGAUGAGGCUGUGAGCUAAUCCUAAACACUGUCAUGUUCAAGAUCAUUGGUUUUUACCUACAAAUAAAUGGCUGAAGUGGGGUGUUAGAAGGGGUCA